UCUCGAUUCGUCUAGUGGUUAGGAUACCUGCUUGUCAUUCUCUCUACGACAGACCCUAUGAAUGGACAUGUCUCUAGUAUAGUCGGAUUCGCAGGUGGCCGGGGUUCAAUUCCCCGAUCGAGAG
Annulohypoxylon moriforme is the source of this 124-nucleotide non-coding RNA. The record is from the annotation of a GenBank genome assembly. NCBI's taxonomy places the organism in Eukaryota, Fungi, Ascomycota, Sordariomycetes, Xylariales, Hypoxylaceae.